Molecule: ribosomal RNA, 253 nt
Filed under: uncultured bacterium
Lineage: Bacteria
Description: partial 16S ribosomal RNA
Rfam family: Bacterial small subunit ribosomal RNA
Source: RNAcentral
UACAGAGGUCUCAACCGUUGUUCGGAUUCAUUGGGCGUAAAGGGUGCGUAGGCGGUCGCGCAAGUCGGAUGUGAAAUCUCGGGGCUCAACCCCGAAACUGCAUUCGAUACUGCGUGGCUAGAGUGCUGGAGGGGAGACUGGAAUUUACGGUGUAGCAGUGAAAUGCGUAGAUAUCGUAAGGAAGACCAGUGGCGAAGGCGAGUCUCUGGACAGCAACUGACGCUGAGGCACGAAGGCCAGGGGAGCAAACGGG